This is a long non-coding RNA of Vombatus ursinus (common wombat), 2243 nucleotides long. The record is from Ensembl. NCBI's taxonomy places the organism in Eukaryota, Metazoa, Chordata, Mammalia, Diprotodontia, Vombatidae.
CAGAAAAGGCUUCAUUUAGCAGGAGCCAUUUGAGGUGGGAAUAAGGAGGGAAAGGCAUGGCAAGUUCAGGGAGCAGCCAGCAGCAGGUCAGUUUGUCUAGGUCACAGAGUGCAUGAAGAGCAGCAAUGUACAGAACUUAGAAAGGUAGGCUGGAGAUUGUGAUGGGGGACUGUAAAUACCAAAUGAGUUAUAUUUAAUUCCAGAAGCAAUAAAAAGCUGAUGAAGCUCCUUGAGCAGACUUAUAGAACUUAUGCUUUAAGAAUAUCAAUUUGGCAACUGUUUGGGGGGUGGUGGGAAAGAAGGACAUGAGGCCUGGGUUCAGGGAGGAAAGAAAGGUAAUACUGGAGUGUGGACAUUCAAAGUGGGAGAUGGCCACAGGAAUAUUGGAGGGGAGAAAGAAGCUGCCACCUGAAGCAUGGAGCCCAUCCCUGAGGUCUUGCUGUCUCCUCAGAAAAUUUCUGACAGGUAUCCCAGAAUUCAGAAGAUUCUUAAGAGUGAACAAGCCUGCUGCUAUCUCUUGCCAUUUCCUGGGAAAAAAGUAGCAAUUAGCAGCAGUGGAAAUCCAGAAGGUGACUGUCCCUCUAUCCAGAAGUCCCUAUAAUCCCUUCUCAGAGUGUAACUGAUCUUGGCCCCUCCACCAUCCCACUUCCCUUCUAAACUCCAGCCACCCUGCCCCUCCACUACUCAGAUCUCUCAGGAUCACAGAUCUUCUCUUCCUCAGACAUGGAUCCAGAUUUCUCUCGCUAUCUGCAUGACUUCAUCACUGAUGUUUGCAAUUCAACCACCCAGCAUGUGAAAAGGCACUCAGAUGGACAUAUUCUCACUGGGGAGGAAUUAGCUGAGAACAUCAAGACACUCUUCAACCUAUUACAGACAAAAGAAUUUGGAUAUUCAUCCUCGUAUGUGUCGGUAAAGUCCUGGCUAAUAGUCUUGGAAAGGAUGCUAGUCCUGGGUAGAGAACCAGGUCCAGGGAGUCAGAGCAUCUGUCUUCAAGGGAACAUGGGGUUGGGUUAGGAUUAAGUAGUAAGAGGAGGUGGGUGAGAGGCUUGGGACAGAAUUCCAAAACGAAUAGGGUGAAGGAUAACAUGAUAAGGGGUCGUCUUCUCUUUGGACAGGUGGUUACUCUACUCCAAGAUGAGAGGUUGAUUGAAGAUUAUCAACAAGAGUUGGAGGACUUUGUGAAGGAACAGGUGAGCCCUCAGGCUUUUUAUUGUCUCUCUCAUGGAUGAGCUACCCAGAAGGACUACCCUAGGUUCAAGACACUCUGUGGGUUCACAUCCACUCACAACCACUCAUAAAUUCCCACUGAUACUUCUGCUUUUUCCCUAGUUAUCCAGGGUUUACAAUUAAUUCAAAGCAAAGGUGUUUAAUGGAAUAGCAGAGUAGGCAGAUUUGUAAUAGAACAUUUCCUCCAUGAAUGUAGAGUAUUUUAUCCUAUAUACACACACACCACCAUAUGCUCACCUGAGUGAGCAUGUACAUUAUUAUUACCAUACAUGAACUCACCAGGGACAUCAGGGUCCUAGAGCAUCAGAGGUAGUUAGUAGCCCCUCUAUAUUUAUUCAAAGUGAUCCCUGAUAUCCCCUGGUGAUUUCCCCUGGGUUCACUGAGUCAGAGUUCCUCCCUCUGGGCACUCCUUCACUAGGUUUCCAAUCUCCCCUGGCAACCUCAUCUCUUCAGAGCCAGCUCAGCCAUUUCAAGUUAAGUCUACUAGGGUAGUGGUUAAAUCUUCUGCCUCAUAAUGCCUGGCUAUUAGCUCUUUAAUCCUGGUUGUUGACUAGCCACUAUAACCAAGUGACAGAAGCCAAGAGGACUUUUAAAGCUAAAGUUUUAAAAACUAGAUCUUUAUUUUUGAACCCUAUGGAAGGGGAAUCAAAGCUUUCUGUUAAUUAUAAUUAGUAAUUAUAAUUAAUAUCUAGAUUAAUUAUUAGAUAAUUAUCUAGCUUCAGGUUCAGACAAUUUAACACAUUUUCCAAUAUGCUCCCUGGCCUAGCUUCAAAUGAAUUUGAGUCAGAAGCAAAGGCAGGCUAUGGAAACAAAGUCAGAGGUUUCCACCCACCCAGCCUGAAUUCUUGUCUGUAGUUGUAAUGACCAAACUCAGCUUCCACCUUUCACUGAAGACAUUGGGAAGUAUGGGUGUACAAUGUUGCAUAUACUGUCUGAUGAAAUUAAUGUGUGGGGUGCCAGGGGAGGGACAUAUUUGUAAAAAAAUAAAAGGUGAUAUAGAUAGGUAUAGAUAUACA